This 460-nucleotide ribosomal RNA is filed under the name uncultured bacterium. RNAcentral describes it as "partial 16S ribosomal RNA". It matches the Rfam family "Bacterial small subunit ribosomal RNA", at positions 338 to 795 of the family's 1533-position model. The record is from RNAcentral.
CCUACGGGUGGCAGCAGUGAGGAAUAUUGGUCAAUGGGCGCGAGCCUGAACCAGCCAAGUCGCGUGAGGGAAGACGGCCCUACGGGUUGUAAACUUCUUUUAUAAAGGAAUAAAGUGAGGCACGUGUGCCUUUUUGUAUGUACUUUAUGAAUAAGGAUCGGCUAACUCCGGUUCAGCAGUCGCGGUAAUACGGAGGUUCCGAGCGUUAUUCGGAUUUAUUGGGUUUAAAGGGAGCGUAGAUGGGUUGUUAAGUCAGUUGUGAAAGUUUGCGGCUCAACCGGAAAAUUGCAAUUGAUACUGGCAGCCUUGAGUACAGUUGAGGUAGGCGGAAUUCGUGGUGUAGCGGUGAAAUGCUUAGAUAUCACGAAGAACUCCGAUUGCGAAGGCAGCCUACUAAACUGCCACUGACAUUGAUGCUCGAAAGUGUGGGUAUCAAACAGGAUUAGAUACCCCUGUAGUC